This 416-nucleotide long non-coding RNA is filed under the name Rattus norvegicus (Norway rat). RNAcentral's name for it is "long non-coding RNA NONRATT017841". Lineage: Eukaryota; Metazoa; Chordata; Mammalia; Rodentia; Muridae. The record is from RNAcentral.
AUUUGAAUAUGUGGAAUCUGGCCCCAUGGGAGCAGAAGAACUUGCAUUCAGAUUUGCUGUGAAUACCAUCAACAGAAACAGGACUUUGCUGCCCAACACCACUUUAACUUAUGAUACUCAGAAGAUCAAUCUCUAUGACAGUUUUGAAGCAUCUAAGAAAGGUAAUAGAAAUAUACUAUGGUUCCUAGAUUUGAGAUUUCUAGGUGUUCUUAAGAAAGUUCAUGAUUCCUUUAUUUUGUCAAUAAAUUAUUGAGGAAAUUUAUGCGAAGGAAAUUGUCUGUAAUAUUUAUAUACAUUUUAUUAAAGGAAAUGUUGAUUUUUAUAAAUUUUCAUUAGGUUUUAUUCAAACAAAUCCAAUUUUAAGUGAAAUCAAAUUUGUGGUAGACGAAUUGUUUUCCCAUAUUGUUCUGCUUUCA